Molecule: transfer-messenger RNA, 388 nt
Filed under: human gut metagenome
Rfam family: transfer-messenger RNA
About the family: Bacterial tmRNA, also known as 10Sa RNA or SsrA, is named for its dual tRNA and mRNA-like properties.
Source: RNAcentral
GACUGGAUUUGACAGCGGCAGGAAAGGUGCGCAAGCAUGCAGUGCUUCGGUAGUUUGCACUAUAAUCUGAGCUAUCAAAAAUUUAAUUGGCGAAAAUAAGUACGCUCUCGCUGCUUAAUCGAAGUACAGUAGAUUGGCUUUAUCCUUUUACUAGGUAAGAGGACGAGACAUCACUCAAAAGCUGUGGUUCCGAAGCGUUUUGAAUCAGUGGUGCAGUAAAAUCGGAAAUAGCUUUUGCCGGCCUCGCGGUGAAGGUGAAGUUUAAGAGGAUAAGGUGCGGGUUGGUGGCUCCGGUCUUGCUCGCGCUCGAAAACGAAGGCGGAGAUAAGCAUGUAGAAAACGUAUUGUUUCGCCGUUUGGACGAGGGUUCGACCCCCUCCUGGUCCAC